GUUGAAGAACGUAGCGAAAUGCGAUAAGUAGUGUGAAUUGCAGAAUUCAGUGAAUCAUCGAAUCUUUGAACGCACAUUGCGCCCUUUGGUAUUCCUUAGGGCAUGCCUGUUCGAGCGUCAUUUAAACCUUCAAGCUAAGCUUGGUGUUGGGUGACUGUCCGCUUCACGGCGGACUCGCCUCAAAAUUAUUGGCGGCCGGUACAUUGGCUUCGAGCGCAGCAGAAACGCGAACUCGGGCCCGUCGUAUUGGCUCCCAGAAGCUAUCUUCACAAUUUUGACCUCGGAUCAGGUAGGGAUACCCGCUGAACUUAAGCAUAUCAAUAAGCGGAGGA
This 332-nucleotide unclassified non-coding RNA is filed under the name soil metagenome. Its description in RNAcentral is "partial contains 5.8S ribosomal RNA, internal transcribed spacer 2, and large subunit ribosomal RNA". The stretch from base 1 to 120 matches the Rfam family "5.8S ribosomal RNA", at positions 35 to 154 of the family's 154-position model. The record is from RNAcentral.